RNAcentral lists this ribosomal RNA (737 nucleotides) under uncultured Cladosporium. RNAcentral's name for it is "eukaryotic LSU rRNA". The stretch from base 296 to 449 matches the Rfam family "5.8S ribosomal RNA". Lineage: Eukaryota; Fungi; Ascomycota; Dothideomycetes; Cladosporiales; Cladosporiaceae. The record is from RNAcentral.
AAGUCGUAACAAGGUUUCCGUAGGUGAACCUGCGGAAGGAUCAUUAAUGAAUAAGAACACGUCUCAUGGCGUUNUCUUGGUCNNUAGAGGAAGUAAAAGUNGUAACAAGGUCUCCGUAGGUGACCUGCGGAGGGAUCAUUACAAGUGACCCCGGCUACGGCCGGGAUGUUCAUAACCCUUUGUUGUCCGACUCUGUUGCCUCCGGGGCGACCCUGCCUUCGGGCGGGGGCUCCGGGUGGACACUUCAAACUCUUGCGUAACUUUGCAGUCUGAGUAAACUUAAUUAAUAAAUUAAAACUUUUAACAACGGAUCUCUUGGUUCUGGCAUCGAUGAAGAACGCAGCGAAAUGCGAUAAGUAAUGUGAAUUGCAGAAUUCAGUGAAUCAUCGAAUCUUUGAACGCACAUUGCGCCCCCUGGUAUUCCGGGGGGCAUGCCUGUUCGAGCGUCAUUUCACCACUCAAGCCUCGCUUGGUAUUGGGCAACGCGGUCCGCCGCGUGCCUCAAAUCGUCCGGCUGGGUCUUCUGUCCCCUAAGCGUUGUGGAAACUAUUCGCUAAAGGGUGUUCGGGAGGCUACGCCGUAAAACAACCCCAUUUCUAAGGUUGACCUCGGAUCAGGUAGGGAUACCCGCUGAACUUAGNAUAUCAACANNNACUNNAAGUGCAUCUUUGGAUGUUACUCAUUGUGUAACUUUGACAUCUGGCCUCAAAUCAAGUAGGACUACCCGCUGAACUUAA